RNAcentral lists this ribosomal RNA (404 nucleotides) under uncultured bacterium. Its description in RNAcentral is "bacterial SSU rRNA". It matches the Rfam family "Bacterial small subunit ribosomal RNA", at positions 355 to 776 of the family's 1533-position model. RNAcentral also lists the same sequence under 1 other name. The record is from RNAcentral.
UGGGGAAUUUUGCGCAAUGGGGGAAACCCUGACGCAGCAACGCCGCGUGCGGGACGACGGCCUUCGGGUUGUAAACCGCUUUCAGCAGGGAAGAAAUUCGACGGUACCUGCAGAAGAAGCUCCGGCUAACUACGUGCCAGCAGCCGCGGUAAUACGUAGGGAGCGAGCGUUAUCCGGAUUCAUUGGGCGUAAAGAGCGCGUAGGCGGCCUCUCAAGCGGGAUCUCUAAUCCGAGGGCUCAACCCCCGGCCGGAUCCCGAACUGGGAGGCUCGAGUUCGGUAGAGGCAGGCGGAAUUCCCGGUGUAGCGGUGGAAUGCGCAGAUAUCGGGAAGAACACCGAUGGCGAAGGCAGCCUGCUGGGCCGCAACUGACGCUGAGGCGCGAAAGCUAGGGGAGCGAACAGG